GAUCAUGGCUCAGGAUGAACGCUAGCGGCGGGCUUAACACAUGCAAGUCGAGGGGCAGCGGGGGAGUAGCAAUACUCCGCCGGCGACCGGCGCACGGGUGCGUAACGCGUAUGCAACCUACCUUUAACAGGGGCAUAACACUGAGAAAUUGGUACUAAUUCCCCAUAACAUUCGAGAAGGCAUCUUCUUGGGUUAAAACGUACCGUGGUUAAGAUGGGCGAUGCGUUGUAUUAGCUAGUUGGUUGAGGUAACGGG
Molecule: ribosomal RNA, 255 nt
Filed under: uncultured bacterium
Lineage: Bacteria
Description: partial 16S ribosomal RNA
Rfam family: Bacterial small subunit ribosomal RNA
Source: RNAcentral